Anas platyrhynchos (mallard) is the source of this 928-nucleotide non-coding RNA. The record is from RefSeq and is a predicted model, not a curated record. Lineage: Eukaryota; Metazoa; Chordata; Aves; Anseriformes; Anatidae.
UUAAGGUGAAACACAGUGUACAACACGGGACUUGACCAUAGCUGCUUUUGGCAAGAGGUGUAUUGUAGCUGGCAUAAGAGAGCAGAUGGAAGCAUCUGCCUCGAGGGCAGGUGAGGAGGCUGAGGCUCAGAGGGGCCAAGCUGUACUCUGAAGAGCAGCACGAGAAGGGCGGGCUGGUUGUGAGCUGGAUUGGAGCAGAACAGCCAAGUAGCACGAGGUGACUGUGAAGGGUAUCCAUCUUGCUUUGCAGGUGCCCUGGCAGGCUCUCCACAGAAGCGGUUGAGGAUUUGAGAAGAGGUUGCAGCUCAUCAAGGAGCGACACGUGCAGGGAUGGCUUGAAAAUGGUAUGGCUGCUUUCUCUUCUGUUUAUCAGGUGUCCCAGGCAAUGUGGGCUGUGAUGUUAUUUCUUGAGAAUCGGAACAAAGCAGGUGCUGAUGGCGGUUUUUUGGUAAGCAAAGUGGUGCCCGAAGCCCUGUCCUGUGUAGCCUGAGCACGCCUCGCUGAGAAUGAAGCUUGCUUUCCAGCAGUUCCCAAAGCUGUUGAAUCUGAAAUGCUGUGUCUGUUUUUUUUGUGUUGGGGUUGCACCUUGGUGAGUGUAGGGAUGGGUUUUAAGUGGGUGCAGCGGAGGGCCUGGCCCCAGUGUCCUGUAGCGUGUUUUGACCCAUCAACAUAGCCAUUUAGUUCUCAGGUAUCCUACUGAAGUGAUUUUUUCCUGUGAGUGGAAUGGAAUAGAAUUAUUUUUUGGUGUGUAAUCUGUUCUACUCCUAGAUUGUUCUUUCUAUGUAAAUGAAAGAUCGAGGUAAUUCCAGAUGGAAAAAGAAAUCAAUUGCUUGCUUAGUUGUAUUGUCCUUUUAAUAUUCAAAGCUACAGCAAAAGCAUGGGGAUUUUUGUUCCUAGAAACACCCUAGCUCUCCUGUCUGCACUCUGU